UACAGAGGGUGCAAGCGUUGUUCGGAAUUAUUGGGCGUAAAGGGCGCGUAGGCGGUUCGGCAAGUCUCUAGUGAAAUCUCAGGGCUCAACUCUGAGUCUGCUGGGGAAACUGCCGGGCUUGAGUGUGGGAGAGGAGAGUGGAAUUCCCGGUGUAGCGGUGGAAUGCGUAGAUAUCGGGAGGAACACCUGUGGCGAAAGCGGCUCUCUGGACCACAACUGACGCUGAGGCGCGAAAGCUAGGGGAGCAAACAGG
RNAcentral lists this ribosomal RNA (253 nucleotides) under uncultured bacterium. Its description in RNAcentral is "partial 16S ribosomal RNA". It matches the Rfam family "Bacterial small subunit ribosomal RNA", at positions 524 to 776 of the family's 1533-position model. The record is from RNAcentral.